CCUUUCAAAACUCUUGCUGGGUUUUGCCUAAGAUUCGAAGCCUAAAGCUCUGAAUUCUGACCUCCCUGAUUACUGACUGAGGAAACAAUAUCCCCAAAAUGGAAAGCUCCAGGUCUGUGUGCUUAGAUUUAGGCUCCAAGGACUGAACACCCUGCAUGUAAGCAUCAAGCAAAGAACUUGUAAUACGCUGAAUGCUGCAUAGAAGGUUUUGAAACUACUUACCUGCUGUGGAACACCUGUAUAACUUUAAAAUGCAUCAAUCAAUCUCGAGAGUAUGAUCAUGCUUCCUGCUUUUAAGGAUCUGAAGUUAACUGCAACUCCAAGUAUACAAGACUUCUUUGGGACCCAUGGAAGCAUCUCUACAUGCUCAUGUUUGCCAGAUUCAGUGGCCUCCUGAAACCUGGCCCUAGCUAAUAAGUUAAAAAGCUCUAAGUAAUCCCGAGCUGCAUUUGAAUCUCCAAGAUCACUUGUUCAUGGGUUGGUAAUACUUUAAAGAGCCAUUUGUUUAACUGCUAAUCUGGAUCUUAUAUUCUGAGCCCCAGCUUUUUUCUAAAGCAAAGAAAAUACAAAAUAAAAGUAAGACCAAAUGCCUUUGUACCAUGGAGAGAGAAAUGACUCAUUGGAAUGCUUCUGUUUUUCAUCACAUCAAAGAUGCAUCAACAUAAAUCAACCAUUAUAUCAUGCACCAUGAUAAAAAAGGGGGAUAAAAGUCCCCAAACCACUGCCAAUUAAACCAACACAGUGCCUUUGUAUUAUUCAGAAUUUUUAUCUUAGCCUUAUUGAAAGAGCUUUUUUAGAACAUAUUUAAACAAUUCUGUCAUAUUUCAUUCUUGCAUACUCAUUAAAAAGGAAAAUAUGAGAGAUACAAAUGAAAGGUUUCCAAAAGUUUCCUCUCAUUCAGAAUCCAAUUCUUCAGAAUUAUUUUGCAACCCAGACUCUUUGAUGUCCUCGUUUUCCCACCA
RNAcentral lists this long non-coding RNA (962 nucleotides) under Homo sapiens (human). RNAcentral describes it as "HSALNT0299383". The record is from RNAcentral. Lineage: Eukaryota; Metazoa; Chordata; Mammalia; Primates; Hominidae.